UACAGAGGUCCCGAGCGUUGUUCGGAUUCACUGGGCGUAAAGGGUGUGUAGGUGGCGCUGUAAGUCGGGUGUGAAAUCUCGGGGCUUAACUCCGAAACUGCAUUCGAUACUGCGGUGCUUGAGGACUGGAGAGGAGACUGGAAUUCAUGGUGUAGCAGUGAAAUGCGUAGAGAUCAUGAGGAAGACCAGUGGCGAAGGCGGGUCUCUGGACAGUUCCUGACACUGAGACACGAAGGCCAGGGGAGCAAACGGG
RNAcentral lists this ribosomal RNA (253 nucleotides) under uncultured bacterium. RNAcentral's name for it is "partial 16S ribosomal RNA". It matches the Rfam family "Bacterial small subunit ribosomal RNA", at positions 524 to 776 of the family's 1533-position model. The record is from RNAcentral.